Molecule: ribosomal RNA, 1042 nt
Filed under: uncultured bacterium
Lineage: Bacteria
Description: bacterial SSU rRNA
Rfam family: Bacterial small subunit ribosomal RNA
Source: RNAcentral
CUCCUACGGGAGGCAGCAGUGGGGAAUAUUGCACAAUGGGGGAAACCCUGAUGCAGCGACGCCGCGUGAAGGAAGAAGUAUCUCGGUAUGUAAACUUCUAUCAGCAGGGAAGAUAAUGACGGUACCUGACUAAGAAGCCCCGGCUAACUACGUGCCAGCAGCCGCGGUAAUACGUAGGGCGCAAGCGUUAUCCGGAUUUAUUGGGCGUAAAGGGCUCGUAGGCGGCUCGUCGCGUCCGGUGUGAAAGUCCAUCGCUUAACGGUGGAUCUGCGCCGGGUACGGGCGGGCUGGAGUGCGGUAGGGGAGACUGGAAUUCCCGGUGUAACGGUGGAAUGUGUAGAUAUCGGGAAGAACACCGAUGGCGAAGGCAGGUCUCUGGGCCGUCACUGACGCUGAGGAGCGAAAGCGUGGGGAGCGAACAGGAUUAGAUACCCUGGUAGUCCACGCCGUAAACGGUGGACGCUGGAUGUGGGGCACGUUCCACGUGUUCCGUGUCGGAGCUAACGCGUUAAGCGUCCCGCCUGGGGAGUACGGCCGCAAGGCUAAAACUCAAAGAAAUUGACGGGGGCCCGCACAAGCGGCGGAGCAUGCGGAUUAAUUCGAUGCAACGCGAAGAACCUUACCUGGGCUUGACAUGUUCCCGACGACGCCAGAGAUGGCGUUUCCCUUCGGGGCGGGUUCACAGGUGGUGCAUGGUCGUCGUCAGCUCGUGUCGUGAGAUGUUGGGUUAAGUCCCGCAACGAGCGCAACCCUCGCCCCGUGUUGCCAGCACGUUAUGGUGGGAACUCACGGGGGACCGCCGGGGUUAACUCGGAGGAAGGUGGGGAUGACGUCAGAUCAUCAUGCCCCUUACGUCCAGGGCUUCACGCAUGCUACAAUGGCCGGUACAGCGGGAUGCGACAUGGCGACAUGGAGCGGAUCCCUGAAAACCGGUCUCAGUUCGGAUCGGAGCCUGCAACCCGGCUCCGUGAAGGCGGAGUCGCUAGUAAUCGCGGAUCAGCAACGCCGCGGUGAAUGCGUUCCCGGGCCUUGUACACACCGC